RNAcentral lists this long non-coding RNA (1963 nucleotides) under Homo sapiens (human). RNAcentral's name for it is "HSALNT0330170". Lineage: Eukaryota; Metazoa; Chordata; Mammalia; Primates; Hominidae. The record is from RNAcentral.
UGCGCAUGUAGAUAUAUGAGAGAUUUAUUAGGCGGAUUGACUCACAUGAUUACAGUGGCUGAGAAGUCUUGCAACAGGCCGUCUACAAGCUGGAGACCCUGGGAGGCUGGUAGCAUGACUCAGGCAGAAAGCCCCAGGACCCAGGGGCCACUGGUGUAAGUCCUAGAGUCCAAAAGCUGGCAAGCCUGGAGUUCUGAUGCUCAAAGCAGCAGAAAAGUCUGUCCCAGCUCUCAGAGAGAGACCAUUUGCCUUCUGUAUUUGUUUUCUCCUGGCCCCCUGCCUAUUAGAUGAUGCCCACCAACAUUGAGGGCAGAUCUUCCCUACCUAUUCCACUCAGACCCACACACAGAUCUCCUCUAGAAACACCCUCACACAUACACACCCGACAUAAUGCUAUAUUAGGUUUCUAGAUAGCCCUUCAUCCAGUCAAGUCGAUACCUAAAAUUAAGUCCAUAAGUCCACCCCUUGUCAACUUGGCACCAAGACACAUCUCCAGAAACCAUAUCUAAUUUCCAAAUAAAGACAACAACAAGGUAAUAGUUUUGUCUAACAUAAUGCAACCAUCCCAUGAUUGUGAUUUUAGGGACUUUAGAUAUUAGAGAUUUAGACUUCAGGGAUUUUAAUCUUUUGGGACUUUAACAUUCAGGAUUAUCAUGUUUGAGAUUGUAUCUUGCAAGAUAAUGAUCCAAACUCCAGUGAAUUAACACUUCCCCUUAACUGUAUCGGAAAGGGUCUGAUUUCCCUUCCUAGCCACCAUGGUGCUGAGCACAGCAUUUUGUACACAAUAAACACUCAUACGUUUUUGAGAAAAGAGAGCGGCAGACACAGACACAGCCCUUACAGAGCUAGUGAUGGAGGAGGGCAGACCCAGGCAGCACAAUUCUUUACUGUAUUUGUCCAUUUUCACACUGCUGAUAAAGACAUACCCGAGACUGGGCAGUUUACAAAACAAAGAGGUUAUUGGGGCUGGGCCCAGUGGCUCACGCCUGUAAUCCCAGCACUUUGGGAGGCCCAGGCGGGUGGAUCACGAGGUCAGGAGUUCAAGACCGGCCUGCCCAACAUGGCAAAACCCCGUCUCUACUAAAAAUACAAAAAAUUAGCUGGGCAUGGUGGUGGCCACCUAUAAUCUCAGCUACUCAGGAGGCUGAGGCAGGAGAAUUGCUUGGACCCGGGAGGCAGAGGUUGCAGUGAGCUGAGAUCGCGCCACUGCACUCCAGCGUGGGGGACAAAAGCGAAACUCUGUCUCAAAAAAAAAAAAAUUAGAACUUUCCCCGUACUCUUGCUAGGGCUUUUCAUGGAGAUGUAGAAAUGGUAGUAAGUGCCAAGGCCCCAGAACCCUCAUGUUUGGGUCCGACUCCCACAUUGCCAGAGACUAGGCAGCUCACACAGGUGUCCCAAGCUGUCUUUCUCACAGGCCGCAUUGAAGGCAUUUAUGAAAUGAGACCCCCUCUUCCUCAUCCGUAGUGACAGGGCUGGCCUGACCGUGGAGAAAUCAGAUUUGAUCAUGAUAGCUUCCACUCCGUGACUGGUCACGAUCUGCCAGGCGCUGUGCUAAACACUUUCAUAGGCCUUGUCCCCCUCCAUCCUGAUAACACCCCAGUGAAGCAGGCCCUGCUCUUCACUCCACUCCACAAAGCCAAGGCUGAGAGAGGUUAACAGACUUACCUAAGGUCACACAGCUAAGAAGUCGUGAAGCUGGGAUCGAAUCAAGUCUGUGUUUAUGGGUUUAACUAUCAUGUUGUGGCCCCAACCCCAUUUGACCUAGCCUGGCUGGUGGGCCUUCUUGCAGUAGCUUCCCCUGGAGAAGAGGAAAAGCAAACCUUCAUUGAGACCCAAGCGGUCUCUCCUGUGCUCUGUGACAAUAAUAAAGUUCCAGCCCUUGGCUCCUGUCCUGUUUCUUUCUGGGAAUUUGGGGAAGGGGGGAGGUGGCGAAGGCAGGGAAAGAACCUGACAGGCCCAGCUG